UAAGGAAUAUUGGUCAAUGGACGCAAGUCUGAACCAGCCAUGCCGCGUGGAGGAUGAAGGUCCUCUGGAUUGUAAACUUCUUUUAUCUGGGAAGAAACCCACGAAUUCUUUUGUGGUUGACGGUACCAGAUGAAUAAGCACCGGCUAACUCCGUGCCAGCAGCCGCGGUAAUACGGAGGGUGCAAGCGUUAUCCGGAUUCACUGGGUUUAAAGGGUGCGUAGGUGGGCAGGUAAGUCAGUGGUGAAAUCUCCGGGCUUAACUCGGAAACUGCCAUUGAUACUAUCUGUCUUGAAUACCGUGGAGGUCAGCGGAAUAUGUCAUGUAGCGGUGAAAUGCUUAGAUAUGACAUAGAACACCAAUUGCGAAGGCAGCUGGCUACACGAAUAUUGACACUGAUGCACGAAAGCGUGGGGAUCAAACAGGAUUAGAUACCCUGGUAGUCCACGCCCUAAACGAUGGAUACUCGACAUACGCGAUACACAGUGUGUGUCUGAGCGAAAGCAUUGAGUAUCCCACCUGGGAAGUACGAUCGCAAGAUUGA
Molecule: ribosomal RNA, 542 nt
Filed under: uncultured Chitinophagaceae bacterium
Lineage: Bacteria; Pseudomonadati; Bacteroidota; Chitinophagia; Chitinophagales; Chitinophagaceae
Description: bacterial SSU rRNA
Rfam family: Bacterial small subunit ribosomal RNA
Source: RNAcentral